RNAcentral lists this ribosomal RNA (490 nucleotides) under uncultured bacterium. RNAcentral's name for it is "partial 16S ribosomal RNA". It matches the Rfam family "Bacterial small subunit ribosomal RNA", at positions 30 to 507 of the family's 1533-position model. The record is from RNAcentral.
AUUGAACGCUGGCGGCAGGCCUAACACAUGCAAGUCGAACGGUAACAGGAAGCAGCUUGCUGCUUCGCUGACGAGUGGCGGACGGGUGUGUAAUGUCUGGGAAACUGCCUGAUGGCGGGGGAUAACUACUGGAAACGGUAGCUAAUACCGCAUAACGUCGCAAGACCAAAGAGGGGGACCUUAUGGCCUCUUGCCAUCGGAUGUGCCCAGAUGGGAUUAGCUAGUAGGUGGGGUAACGGCUCACCCAGGCGACGAUCCCUAGCUGGUCUGAGAGGAUGACCAGCCACACUGGAACUGAGACACGGUCCAGACUCCUACGGGAGGCAGCAGUGGGGAAUAUUGGACAAUGGGCGCAAGCCUGAUGCAGCCAUGCCGCGUGUAUGAAGAAGGCCUUCGGGUUGUAAAGUACUUUCAGCGGGGAGGAAGGGAGUAAAGUUAAUACCUUUGCUCAUUGACGUUACCCGCAGAAGAAGCACCGGCUAACUCCGUG